AUUAUUAUUAUUAUUAUUAUUAUUAUUAUUAGUAGUAGUAGCAGGAGUACUCCAUCACACGCACUAAAUUGGGGGUCGCACUAAAUUGGGGGUUGCUGUUGGUGCUUGCGAUGACGACGAUGAAAGCUUCUAUUGUGGAAGGGUUGUGAUGAAUUUUACAAGGUUUAGUAGUUGUCUUUGAUUAUUUAUAUAUUAUAAGAUCUGUGGGAGAGAGAGAGAGCGGAAGAGGGAAGAGAGGGCUUGAGGAAGAGAAAGGGAGAAGAGGAAGGAACAGUGGCGCCGGAGGAAAGGGAGACCGCCGCUACAGCUGCGCCACCGCCAUCGCGUCCUGCUGCCUGCGCCGCCACCGUCUAGCUCGAGCCUCCACCGCGCCAUACGUCACCAUCGCGAGGAAGCUCAGAACCGAGGGAGAGAGAGCCGUCGCCGUCGCCGUUCGUGCUCUGUCGUCGCUGCCGUUCGUGAACCAGACACCAUCGCCAUCAGAAGCUCUUGUCGCCGCCGAGAAUCCCAUCACCGCCAGGUCCGCCGCUGCCGAAGCCCCACGCCGCCUCUGUUUCUGGAAACCCUACUGCCAACGCUGAUCUACGGGCGCCGUCGCCGUUGAGCUCCUCCACCACCGUUCGGGUAACUGGGAACGUGGCGGUGAUCACCGGAACCACCAUCGGAGUUACCGUUAUUUCAGUUCAGCCGUUCAUACUUGUUUGGGAUUGAGUUACGGGCCUUGAUUGCUGAGUUCUAUGGAUGUUGUAUAUGGCAUCAAGGUGCUGCGUUGUCACCGGAGCUGCUGUUGCUCCGUUUGCUCGAUUAUUCGAUUGAGUUAAGGCUGUGUUUAGAGGCUGUGGCUGCUGCGGGGACGGUCGAUAUUGAUGCUGUUGCUGUGGAAUAAGAAUAGAAAUGCAGUUUUCCGCGUAGUUGAAUCACGAACGAGCUUUACCCUUUUCAGGAACCGGAUGAAGAAGCAUUAAGAAGAGAGUUAUAUUGCGUUUGGUUUAUAUGCUGUUGUAUUAUUUAGAUUAUUUUCUUCCCUCGUCUUUAUUAUUACAAGUUUGUAAGAGGGAUAGGAAUUGUAUGUUUUAUAUGUAUAAUAUAUUGAAUUAUUAUGUAAGGAGUUUUGUAUA
Arachis stenosperma is the source of this 1118-nucleotide long non-coding RNA. RefSeq lists it as uncharacterized. The record is from RefSeq and is a predicted model, not a curated record. The transcript has 4 exons. NCBI's taxonomy places the organism in Eukaryota, Viridiplantae, Streptophyta, Magnoliopsida, Fabales, Fabaceae.